AUUGAGGAAAUAGAAAGAGUAGGACAGACCUGUGCUGUGAGGAAGAGGAAGCAAAAUCAUCUGAAUAUAUCGAUGAUGAGAAAAUAGAUUACAACAUUGAAACAACCACGGAUGACGAUCUUGGGAACCCUAUCAAAAGAGCGAAGUGUUCAGAAUCACCUACAUUCUCGACACCAUCUCUGGUUUCUGAAUGUCCAGAAUCAAUUAGUUCAGAAGUAGAAAAUCAGUCAGCAUUGUCAAUAACAUCCAAGGAUUUGUCUACGUAUAUCAAUUUAAAACGGCUUACCAAAUGCAA
Molecule: long non-coding RNA, 295 nt
Organism: Lolium rigidum
Lineage: Eukaryota; Viridiplantae; Streptophyta; Magnoliopsida; Poales; Poaceae
Exons: 2
Source: RefSeq, a predicted model, not a curated record